UUGAUUAUAUCAAAUAAAAUUCUAGGUAGAUUUUUGAUAAUGACAUUGCUUACUAAGUCUUGACCAAAUUACGUGCCAGCAGUCGCGGUAAUACGUAAAAGACUAGUGUUAUUCAUCUUUAAUUGGUUUAAAGGGUACCUAGACAGCGAAUAAAGCCAUUGUAGGGACUGAUUCGCUAGAGUUACUUAUGAGGGGGUUUUAAAGUACUGCAGGUGUAGAGAUGAAAUUUUGUUAUACCUCUUUUCGUAUGAGAAACUAUGGCACAGGUAUAGGUGAAAGCAUCCCCUUAUGUGAUAACUGACGUUGAGGGACGAAGGCUUUUUGUCGCGAACAGGAUUAGAUACCCCAGUAGUCAAAGCAGAAAAUGAUGAAUGUCAUAGAUUAGAUAUACAAUUUAUUCUAUAAAUGAAAGUGUAAGCAUUCCACCUCAAGAGUAAUUUGGCAACAUUGGAACUGAAAUCAUUAGACCGUUUCUGAAACCAGUAGUGAAGUAUGUUGUUUAAUUUGAUGAUACGCAAAAAACCUUACCACAAUUUGAAUAUUUAUAUAUAUCUUUUAUUGAUUUUUACUAACAUAUAUGUAGACAAUUAAAAUGAUGCUUAUUUCUCGUUUGUGAGACUAAGCAUCAAAAAAGAUAGUAUAUUUACAAGCGUUGCACGGCUGUCUUCAGUUAAUGUCGUGAGAUUUUGGUUAGUUCCAUUAAAUUAACGUAAACCCUUACUUUAUUUUUAUAUAAAGUAGUUCUCCGCUAUA
Molecule: ribosomal RNA, 753 nt
Filed under: Cladonia rangiferina
Lineage: Eukaryota; Fungi; Ascomycota; Lecanoromycetes; Lecanorales; Cladoniaceae
Description: SSU rRNA
Rfam family: Bacterial small subunit ribosomal RNA
Source: RNAcentral